This 292-nucleotide ribosomal RNA is filed under the name uncultured bacterium. RNAcentral describes it as "partial 16S ribosomal RNA". The record is from RNAcentral.
GGACUACUAGGGUAUCUAAUCCUGUUUGCUCCCCACGCUUUCGUAGUUGAGUGUCAGUCACUGUCCAGCAAGCCGCCUUCGCCUCUGGUGUUCCUCCCGAUCUCUACGCAUUUCACCGCUACACCGGGAAUUCCACUUGCCUCUCCAGUACUCUAGUCUCACCGUUUCUGGGGCACUUCUUGAGUUAAGCCCAAGGAUUUCACCCCAGACAAAUGAGACCACCUACCUACCCUUUACGCCCAAUAAUUCCGAGCAACGCUUGCACCCUCCGUAUUACCGCGGCUGCUGGCAC